AACCGCCGUAUACGUAUCCGUACGUACGGUGGUGUGAGAGGUCGGUAGAUAAAAUAAUUAUCUACCUCCUACUCGAU
This 77-nucleotide unclassified non-coding RNA is filed under the name Natronincola peptidivorans. The record is from RNAcentral. Lineage: Bacteria; Bacillati; Bacillota; Clostridia; Peptostreptococcales; Natronincolaceae.